Molecule: ribosomal RNA, 406 nt
Filed under: uncultured bacterium
Lineage: Bacteria
Description: partial 16S ribosomal RNA
Rfam family: Bacterial small subunit ribosomal RNA
Source: RNAcentral
AAUGAACGCUGGCGGCAGGCUUAACACAUGCAAGUCGAACGAGUGGCGGACGGGUGAGUAAUGCUCGGGAAUCUGGCUUAUGGAGGGGGAUAACGACGGGAAACUGUCGCUAAUACCGCGUACCAUAGGAUGAGCCCAAUGGGGCUUAGGUAGUUGGUGGGGUAAAGGCCUACCAAGCUGACUAUCUCUAGCUGGUCUGAGAGGAUGACCAGCCACACGGGGACUGGGACACGGCCCGGACUCCUACGGGAGGCAGCAGUGGGGAAUAUUGCGAAAUGGGGGCAAACCUGACGCAGACAUGCCGCGUGAAUGAAGAAGGCCUUCGGGUUGUAAAGUUCUUUCGGUAUUGAGGCGUUAACUACAGAAGAAGCACCGGCUAACUCCGUGCCAGCAGCCGCGGUAAUUC